Molecule: ribosomal RNA, 497 nt
Filed under: uncultured bacterium
Lineage: Bacteria
Description: partial 16S ribosomal RNA
Rfam family: Bacterial small subunit ribosomal RNA
Source: RNAcentral
GAUGAACGCUGGCGGCGUGCCUAAUACAUGCCAGUCGAGCGAACAGACGAGGAGCUUGCUUCUCUGACGUUAGCGGCGGACGGGUGAGUAACACGUGGAUAACCUACCUAUAAGACUGGGAUAACUUCGGGAAACCGGAGCUAAUACCGGAUAAUAUAUUGAACCGCAUAGUUCAAUAGUGAAAGACGGUUUUGCUGUCACUUAUAGAUGGAUCCGCGCCGCAUUAGCUAGUUGGUAAGGUAACGGCUUACCAAGGCAACGAUGCGUAGCCGACCUGAGAGGGUGAUCGGCCACACUGGAACUGAGACACGGUCCAGACUCCUACGGGAGGCAGCAGUAGGGAAUCUUCCGCAAUGGGCGAAAGCCUGACGGAGCAACGCCGCGUGAGUGAUGAAGGUCUUCGGAUCGUAAAACUCUGUUAUUAGGGAAGAACAAAUGUGUAAGUAACUAUGCACGUCUUGACGGUACCUAAUCAGAAAGCCACGGCUAACUACGUG